UAAUAAUUUCAAUAUCAAUUAUCAUUAUUUACAUCGAUGUUUGUAUUCAUAUAUCUUGUUGAAAAUGUUGUCUCAAUUUUAUUUAGUGGAACAUGAAUAAUUGCCAUACUUCAUAUUUGUUUUGUGAAUUACACACAAUUUUUGCAAUUUGAAAUCAACUAUGCUUAACUAAUGUAACGUAAUUGUAAUAUUUCAGGCUCUUGACACCUUCAACACUGCAGUAGUUUCUCCUAUAUACUAUGUCAUGUUCACAACACUUACAAUCCUAGCUAGUGUGAUAAUGUUCAAGGUAUCAUCAACUAAUUUUGGUAUUUAAGUUUUAGUUUCUGUGUAUUUCAGUUGCAUUAUAAUUACAAAACAUAUUCUUUUGGAGUCUGCCAGUUGAGAAAUGAAGUUAAUAAACUGGAGGAGAGGCUUGGAGUUACUGAUGAUCAUCUCGAACAAAAGAAUCUGAAAAUCAAGAAACUGACAGAUGAAAAGAAAUGUGCAUUGGCUACACAAUAUGUGGCAGAAGCAACUCUUAGAAGGGUACAUGCAAAUCAAAAGGAUGAUGAUAUUCUCCCAAUUGACAGCAUCAUUACUCCAUUUGAAGCUGAGAUUAAAAUAUACAAGAAUGAGUUACAAAUAAUGUAACUCCCAGCAAGGAUGCAUUUGUCAAAUAAUUAAUUAAUUUAAUGUAACUUCUUCUUCCUCUUUAUAUGAUGCUAUAAGAACAAUACACUGAGUAUAUAUUUUGAAUUAUAGUUGAUGUAUCAACACAUUUUGUUGAUGUAUAGUUAUUUAUUAUUAUAGUUGAUGUAUCAAUACACUUUGUUUAUUUUUUGAA
Molecule: non-coding RNA, 826 nt
Organism: Arachis ipaensis
Lineage: Eukaryota; Viridiplantae; Streptophyta; Magnoliopsida; Fabales; Fabaceae
Source: RefSeq, a predicted model, not a curated record